ACGCUCCACCAGGUUGGAUGGGGAACAUCAGUGCACAGCCAUUUUCAGAUCUCUCCAGAGAUGUUCAAUGGGAUUCAGGUCUUGGCUUUGGCUGGGCUACUCAAGCACAUUCAGAGAGCUGUCCUGAGGCCACUCCUUUGAUAUCUGUGUGCUUAGGUCAGGGGGGGGCA
This is a long non-coding RNA of Thalassophryne amazonica, 170 nucleotides long. RefSeq lists it as uncharacterized. The record is from RefSeq and is a predicted model, not a curated record. NCBI's taxonomy places the organism in Eukaryota, Metazoa, Chordata, Actinopteri, Batrachoidiformes, Batrachoididae. The transcript has 3 exons.